This 208-nucleotide ribosomal RNA is filed under the name uncultured bacterium. Its description in RNAcentral is "partial 16S ribosomal RNA". It matches the Rfam family "Bacterial small subunit ribosomal RNA", at positions 568 to 775 of the family's 1533-position model. The record is from RNAcentral.
CUCGUAGGCGGCCAACUAAGUCAGACGUGAAAUCCCUCGGCUUAACCGGGGAACUGCGUCUGAUACUGGGUGGCUUGAAUCCGGGAGAGGGAUGCGGAAUUCCAGGUGUAGCGGUGAAAUGCGUAGAUAUCUGGAGGAACACCGGUGGCGAAGGCGGCAUCCUGGACCGGUAUUGACGCUGAGGAGCGAAAGCCAGGGGAGGCAAACG